AUUGAACGCUGGCGGCAUGCCUUACACAUGCAAGUCGAACGGCAGCACGGGUGCUUACACCUGGUGGCGAGUGGCGAACGGGUGAGUAAUACAUCGGAACGUACCUUAUCGUGGGGGAUAACGCAGCGAAAGCUGUGCUAAUACCGCAUACGCCCUGAGGGGGAAAGCGGGGGAUCGCAAGACCUCGCGCGAUUAGAGCGGCCGAUGCCUGAUUAGCUUGUUGGUGGGGUAAAAGCCCACCAAGGCGACGAGCAGUAGCUGGUCUGAGAGGGCGAGCAGCCACGCUGGGACUGAGACACGGCCCAGACUCCUACGGGAGGCAGCAGUGGGGAAUUUUGGACAAUGGGGGCAACCCUGAUCCAGCAAUGCCGCGUGAGUGAAGAAGGCCUUCGGGUUGUAAAGCUCUUUUGUCAGGGAAGAAACACCGGCUCUAACACAGUCCGGGAAUGACGGUACCUGAAGAAUAAGCACCGGCUAACUACGUGCCAGCCGCCGCAGUAA
This 501-nucleotide ribosomal RNA is filed under the name uncultured bacterium. Its description in RNAcentral is "partial 16S ribosomal RNA". It matches the Rfam family "Bacterial small subunit ribosomal RNA", at positions 29 to 523 of the family's 1533-position model. The record is from RNAcentral.